UAGCCGUAAACGAUACUCGCUAGGUGUCGGCCACGGUGCGACCGUUGUCGGUGCCGUAGGGAAGCCGUGAAGCGAGCCACCUGGGAAGUACGGCCGCAAGGCUGAAACUUAAAGGAAUUGGCGGGGGAGCACCACAACGGGUGGAGCUUGCGGUUUAAUUGGAUUCAACGCCGGAAGUCUUACCGGGACCGACAGCAACAUGAAGGCCAAGCUGAAGACUUUGCCGGAUUAGCUGAGAGGAGGUGCAUGGCGUAGACGUCU
Molecule: ribosomal RNA, 261 nt
Filed under: uncultured archaeon
Lineage: Archaea
Description: partial 16S ribosomal RNA
Rfam family: Archaeal small subunit ribosomal RNA
Source: RNAcentral